AGGAGGAAGAUCUCCCCUUCGCCCAACACUACCUCUCCAACCAUCCUUUAUUCUUUAUUUCUACCUCUCCGAAGCCCUACUGAAUCAAUUUGAAUUUGUAAAAAAUCAAAUCAAACUAAUAUAACCUAACCCACACACACACACACUCCUUUUAGAAGUUCAACCCAACCCUAACCCUUUUAUCAUUAUUCCACUUUCACCUAUUUGCCUUUUCUUAUCUGAUGGGAACAAAUGCCCAU
Molecule: long non-coding RNA, 239 nt
Filed under: Elaeis guineensis (African oil palm)
Lineage: Eukaryota; Viridiplantae; Streptophyta; Magnoliopsida; Arecales; Arecaceae
Description: long non-coding RNA (EGUI_LNC009956)
Source: RNAcentral